AUUCUGAUUUUUAAAGGCAGUGCUUUAAGGCCUGACUUUUAAGUCAUGAGGUUCAUCUUUUCAUACGCAAUCUUUGCAGGGGGUCUUUUGGCCAGAAAUAGAUCCGGAAAUGUUCGAAUUUCUCCUCUUCUUUUUAUGGUAUGAUAUGGUUUUUAUUUCUUUCAUUUACAUUGGGGACUAAAGAAACGAUCAGUGUGUUUUGUUUGUUUUAUAGAACUUGUUAUGAGUGUGUAUUUUGCAUUAUAAGCAGUCAACCUGACUACAAACUAUCAUUAUGUGUAUUCCGUGCGGAAAGAGGUCGGGUCAAUUUCGAGUGUUAUCUGACAUCUAAAGAUUCUUUAAUUAGUUCAGACGUUGAUAUAACAAUGAAAAGUCGACUGAACAUGAUUAAUAUUGCAUCUUCUAUAAUUCAAAGCGGAAUUCGGUUUAUGAACGAGAAACUGUAAAGCGUUUUCAAUUUCGGUAUUAGUUAUGUAUGUUGUCUACGUAUUAUCCUGGUUCCCGGUACUACGUUCCGGGUAUUAGCUUUUUGUGUAUGUGAUGUGUAACAUUACGAUCGGGUACCAGCCAAUCUACGUGUGUAUGUGUACAUGAUUUCCCGCCAAAAUGACCGUUUUACAGCUAUGGAAAAAAUAGUCCACAAACGUUCCGUAGAAUGAUAUCAAAUUCAUAAUUAAUCGUAACUUUUUUUUAUCUUUGUAUAAUAAAUAUAACAAAAUGGAUUCCACAAAAUUGAAAAUAGCAUUAUUUUACGAGGAUUUCUCAUAUUUUUCUCACUUCCGGCGCAGUAAUACGUGUGUUUCGAAGAAGCUCGAAGAAUUUGACAAAGUGAAUUGAGAAGGAAACGGAUAGAUUUACGUCCUUGCUAUCAGGAGAAAUCUAGAGGAAAGUUUUGAUUUGUGAAAUUGGUUUUCCUGAAAAGCCAUUCAUCCUAGCCUGCAGAAAGGAACUAUAACUGUCCACCACCAACUGACGAGCUAAUGUUGAGCUUCACAUAUGGAAUUAAUCAAAUACCAUCAACGUUUGUGUUUUCAGCACAGAUUUCACAAGUUAUGACACAGCUGUGUUUUUUUAUACCUGUUUAUAGAGUUGUAUACUAAAUUUUAUUUUUUUUAUCAAUAAAUAUAUAUUGUGUCA
Mytilus trossulus (common blue mussel) is the source of this 1137-nucleotide long non-coding RNA. RefSeq lists it as uncharacterized. The transcript is spliced from 2 exons. The record is from RefSeq and is a predicted model, not a curated record. NCBI's taxonomy places the organism in Eukaryota, Metazoa, Mollusca, Bivalvia, Mytilida, Mytilidae.